This 1798-nucleotide ribosomal RNA is filed under the name Enterovibrio calviensis DSM 14347. RNAcentral's name for it is "bacterial LSU rRNA". It matches the Rfam family "Bacterial large subunit ribosomal RNA", at positions 444 to 2228 of the family's 2925-position model. Lineage: Bacteria; Pseudomonadati; Pseudomonadota; Gammaproteobacteria; Vibrionales; Vibrionaceae. The record is from RNAcentral.
AUGGGGGGACCAUCCUCCAAGGCUAAAUACUCCUGACUGACCGAUAGUGAACCAGUACCGUGAGGGAAAGGCGAAAAGAACCCCUGUGAGGGGAGUGAAAUAGAACCUGAAACCGUGUACGUACAAGCAGUGGGAGCCUCCUUUGUGGGGUGACUGCGUACCUUUUGUAUAAUGGGUCAGCGACUUACUUUUAGUAGCAAGGUUAACCGAAUAGGGGAGCCGUAGGGAAACCGAGUCUUAACUGGGCGAAUAAGUUGCUAGGAGUAGACCCGAAACCGAGUGAUCUAGCCAUGGGCAGGUUGAAGAUUGAGUAACAUCAAUUGGAGGACCGAACCGACUAAUGUUGAAAAAUUAGCGGAUGACUUGUGGCUAGGGGUGAAAGGCCAAUCAAACUCGGAGAUAGCUGGUUCUCCCCGAAAUCUAUUUAGGUAGAGCCUCGGACGAAUACUACUGGGGGUAGAGCACUGUUAAGGCUAGGGGGUCAUCCCGACUUACCAACCCUUUGCAAACUCCGAAUACCAGUAAGUACUAUCCGGGAGACACACGGCGGGUGCUAACGUCCGUCGUGAAGAGGGAAACAACCCAGACCGCCAGCUAAGGUCCCAAAGUUAUCGCUAAGUGGGAAACGAUGUGGGAAGGCUCAGACAGCCAGGAUGUUGGCUUAGAAGCAGCCAUCAUUUAAAGAAAGCGUAAUAGCUCACUGGUCGAGUCGGCCUGCGCGGAAGAUGUAACGGGGCUAAGCGAUACACCGAAGCUGCGGCAUCAACUCUUCGGAGUUGUUGGGUAGGGGAGCGUUCUGUAAGCCGUUGAAGGUGAACUGUAAGGUUUGCUGGAGGUAUCAGAAGUGCGAAUGCUGACAUGAGUAACGAUAAAGGGGGUGAAAAACCUCCUCGCCGGAAGACCAAGGGUUCCUGUCCAACGUUAAUCGGGGCAGGGUAAGUCGACCCCUAAGGCGAGGCCGAAAGGCGUAGUCGAUGGGAAACGGGUUAAUAUUCCCGUACUUCUUACAAUUGCGAUGGGGGGACGGAGAAGGCUAGGUGGGCCUCGCGACGGUUGUCGAGGUUCAAGUGCGUAGGCAGGGGGAUUAGGCAAAUCCGGUUCCCUAUAUGCUGAGACACGAUGUCGAGCUACUACGGUAGUGAAGUCAUUGAUGCCAUGCUUCCGGGAAAAGCCUCUAAGCUUCAGAUUGUAAGGAAUCGUACCCCAAACCGACACAGGUGGUCGGGUAGAGAAUACCAAGGCGCUUGAGAGAACUCGGGUGAAGGAACUAGGCAAAAUGGUACCGUAACUUCGGGAGAAGGUACGCUGCCUCCGGUGAAGUCCCUUGCGGAUGGAGCUAGAGGCAGUCGCAGAUACCAGGUGGCUGCAACUGUUUAUUAAAAACAUAGCACUGUGCAAAAUCGAAAGAUGACGUAUACGGUGUGACGCCUGCCCGGUGCCGGAAGGUUAAUUGAUGGGGUUAUCUUCGGAGAAGCUCUUGAUCGAAGCCCCGGUAAACGGCGGCCGUAACUAUAACGGUCCUAAGGUAGCGAAAUUCCUUGUCGGGUAAGUUCCGACCUGCACGAAUGGCGUAAUGAUGGCCACGCUGUCUCCACCCGAGACUCAGUGAAAUUGAAAUCGCAGUGAAGAUGCUGUGUACCCGCGGCUAGACGGAAAGACCCCGUGAACCUUUACUACAGCUUGGCACUGAACAUUGACCCUACAUGUGUAGGAUAGGUGGGAGCCUUUGAAGCAUCGUCGCUAGAUGGUGUGGAGGCAAUCUUGAAAUACCACCCUUGUAUGCUUGAUGUUCUAACGU